UCAACUGUCUGAAACGCCGGAAAGCGGAAAAUCCCAGAAACACUCCCCCGUGCUUCCAACUUAUAAUCUUGAAACCCAUUUUCUCUCCCAACUCGAUUUGAAUUUCAGUUUGUCAAUCUGUUUACCAAAACCCUUGGCUGGCCGAUAUCAUUUCCGUUUUAUCUGGUUAAGGGUUUUUAAGUCUAUUGCCCAUUUUCAGGAGUUGAUCUCAUAAGUGGUGUCUACAUAUUGACGUUGUUGGGCAUCUGCUGGAGCCUCGAUGUAACAUCAGUGUUGUACAACAACAACAUAACUCUCUUCUCUUCCUCUUUUUUAUUUUUGACUGAGAGAAUUUAUCAAACACUUAUUGAACCAGAAAAUGGUGUUCUUUGAUUUCAAUGUUCCGUAUCUAGAACCAGAAAAAACACAAAAACCCUUACCAGACAGUAAAAGAAAAACACAAGAUUGAAAAUAGCAGUAAAAGCAAUGGAAUUACAGUGGAGUAGCUUAUAAUAGAUGUAUGAAAGGAGUUAUGUUGUACAAUUUUCAUUGUUAAAAGCUUCUCCAGCUCUACCUGAUUCUGUUAAAUUUCAUAGAGAACUAUUGAGAGUUCCAUUGAAUACUCCUUUUCGUCAGCAAACUAGGUUAACAGUUACUGUUGAGAAUAUUGUUCAAGCUGGUGUUUUAUAUUCAGGAAAUCCUGUUUUGAAAACUUAUGAUUUGGUUGCUGUCAAGCCUUUGAAUCAGACUGCAUCUGUAUUUGAUCACGUCUGUAAAGCUUCUGAGGUGGAUUUAAUUGCUAUUGAUUGUUCGGAGAGGUUACCUUUUCAGUUGAAGCUUCCCAUGGUUAAAGCUGCAAUUGAGUGAGGGAUAUACUUCGAAAUAACUUAUUCACAUCUUAUCUUUAAUAUUCCAGCAAGGAGGCAAAUUGUUACAAAUGCUAAGCUAUUACUGGAUUGGACACGAGGGGAAAAUAUCAUUUUCACAAGUGGUGCGUCUUCUGUUAAUGAACUUAAAGGGCCUUAUGAUGUGGCAAGUCUGUCUUCUUUGCUUGGCCUCUCUAUGGAACGUGCAAAAGCUGCGACUUCAAAAAAUUUCAGGUCUGUUAACUUAAAAACAUUUCAUCAUUAAUUUUAAUUUGUCAAUUUAUAAACUUAUUACAAAAGGUACGCUUAGGUGGUUCAACAUGUUUAACAGUCCACUCUGUGUGUCAGGGCUUUAAUAGCCCGAGCAUUUAGGGAAAAACAGUUUUACAAGGAAGCCAUUAGAGUCGGAAAAAAUUCCAUAUUGUCAACAAGUAGAUACAAAGGAGCCUUGGUUGGCUGACUGCAAUAACUCGGAUGAAAUCUCCAGCGGUGAAGGAGAUAUUUCAGUUGAAUGAUAUUGCAAAAAAAUGUUAUUCAGAUGACAGGUAGAAAGUACGAUACAUGCAUUUGAAGAUGUUGGAAUUAGAUCCAUGUAGUAGAAGUAUCGUCGAUGCAAGUAGUUAUUCAGAUGACAGGUAGAGUAUAAACCAAAAUGACUCCUUUAAUAGUUUUUAUCCCCGAUUUAGGUGACACACAGAGAUUAUACUGAAACAAGUCCUUCAGUAAUUAAGUUUGUCUGAUUUUAUAAAUCUGACUUCUCUAGCUUUCAUCAUGACACUUCUGUGUUAGCAUAGAUUUUGUUUAGUUAAAAUGCCAAAUUGUUAUUGACCGUUGAGACUUUGUUGUGCAUUUUUAAAGCAUCCAGCAAUUGCUUAGGUUUACAUAAAUGUUUGUGGACAUGGAUGUAAUGGUACUCAGAAAUAAAUAUUAGAACUUGCAUCUUGCGUUUAGUUCCUCAUAGUACUUUGUCUUGUUAUACCGUACCCUAUGAUGCACACUAAGAAAGUGAGUCCAGUUUUUGAAAUUCUGAUCUGUCGUUUCUAUGCCUCCAUCAGCUUUCUUUUGCUGCCUUAACUUUUUGUUUAUGUAACUGUUGGUUUAUCCUUCUUUUGGGUUUUCUAUAAACUAGGAGUUGUAAUAUUUUAAUUCUUUUGCAUUUUGGUUCUCUAUGUUUUUUGUUUAAUUUUACUCAAAAUUUCACUUCCUAUUUUUGGCGUGGUUCUUCAAUAUGGCACCUCUCUCUUCUUUCAUUAUGAUGUUUGAUUAUUGGGAAUCCUUGUUCCAUUUUAGUUUAAGUAUUGAAAUGUGACUCUGUCGGGAUUUCUCAUAUGUGUUUAUGAUUAUCCCUAGACAUGUUUAUGUGCCUAGACCCACUUGGCCGCCAAGGAUUCGCCCAAUGGUUUUACCACCAUAGUGAAGUAGCUCGUAUAAGUUGGUACCAUUUCGUCCGGUGCGGCUACGAUGUGGUCGGGCCACAUACUUCAAGUAUGUGACCCAUCUUAGUUUUGUGACACCUAUUAUAAAGUAAUAAAAAAAGUCUUAAAACAGUUAAAUACCAAAAAGUGUAACUAAUUCUUUUUCUUAACUCCCUAUUUUCUCUCAAAAAGUGAAAUGUUGAUAGGGAUUUAGAGGUGGCAGGUUUUUAGUUGUAAUAAGUGUCACAAAACUAAGAGGGGCCACAUACUUCAAGUAUGUGGCCCGACCACAUCAUAUCCUUGGCUCAUUUCGUCUUGUAGAUUUGGUGUAUGUAGUCAAAAUAGCUGCGAACUAAUGCCUGGUGUUAAAAGGAAAGUUACAAUAUUCUGAUCUUUUGAAGUUUAGAAUAAAAUUGAUUAAAUUUGGUGAAGUUUCAAGGGUUUGAGAAUAAUUUGCCACCUGUCACUAGGUCCUUUCAGCAUAAGUUGUUACUUAUUCUUUUUAUUUUAGAUCAAUUUUAAUUAAAUAUGAUCUUUUGAGCGUCUUUCUCCUUUGCCUCUGCUACAACCAUUUGUUGAUUGCGUUCUCUCCAGAUGCUCCAACAAAUGGCAUAAAUUAGGAUGUUCCAAAUAAAAUUUCCACCCAUUGUGAAUAAGCUAUUAUUGUUGCCAUCUGCCUCUGAAUCCUUUUAACAUUAAUGUUGUUAGUGACUGUUUUUUUUUUUUUUUUACAAUUAACAUGCUUGGUAUCCCAGUAUGACGUCGUGACAUAUCUCCUUUUCUUGUUCUCUGAGAAGUUUUAUGACCAUCUUUGUUGAAGCGCAUUCUCAUGAGUGAUAGAUACUCACGUAUGGUAGAUCGCUAUAUCUUUAGUUUAGUGGGGGUGCACACAGAAGGGUGGUAGUUCAUUAUUCAGUUUUUGGGUUUCCAAGCUGCUUUUAUAGUCUCAUUUUCAUGCUAAAUCGAAUAAAACUUGGGAAGCCAAUUGUCACUGUUUGAAUAGUUCUUUUAUGAGCGGCUAGUCAUACAUUUCUCCUUAGUUACAGUGGAUGCUUAAUAGCACAGCAUGAAUGCAACCUUUACAUCCCCCAAGUUACAUUUGCUUCUCCUCGGAUUUGACAUGCUAUAUUAGAGUCUAAGUAUUAAUUACCAUAGUUCCAGCCUCCACAUGCAUCAUUACCAUAUUUCCUAGAUAAUAUUUUGUUAAUACAGAAAAGUAUAGGAAUAAAUCAGAAAAUUAGAAGCAAAUAUAUGACUAGAUAUAAUGUAAUUUAGUGUUUACUCGUGCUUGCCUUUAAUUUUGAUUCUGGGCAAUGAUAUGCCUUCUUUUAUCUUCUUUUUUUGAGAAAUAUCAAUGUGUGCCUAGGUAUGAGAUUAUAAAAUGUUUAAAUUUCAGAGCUGUACUAGACACAGGCAACCUAAAAAAACGUACGGUUACUUUUUAGAUAGUUUUGGUCUUAUAACGAAGCCAAAGGCAACGUGAAUUGUUUCAUGGGGAGUUUAGACCCCUUGUCACCGUGUUCAACCUUGUCUAGUUCCUAUUAGUGAAUACUUAAAGUCCCUGUUAGGGCGAGGAUUUGACCAAGUUAUUCGUUAAGCAAGUAACUCAUAUUACUUCCUGUAAUAUGAGGUUUAGUGUAAUUCUGUGUAUGAAUUUUUUUUUUUUUUUUGCCUUGCAUGGAAACAAAUGCAUAAUCUUUAGUUUAAUGAAUACAGUGACAGUACGUGACAGUUUGAAUCGUAGAUAGAUAUUAUGAUUCGGCAUUAGGGUAUGCUGUGAACCUAUUGUAAACAUGAUGCAUGAUCACAUUUUUUGUCGGCUCAACACAUGCAACUUCCUUGCUAGUUCCUCAAGCAAGACCAUGUUCAAAAAAAAUGUCUGAAGAACUACUUAACAAUAGUUAUAGACUACUGCUGCUAGGGAUGAUCAAUAUAGGUACAUAUUGGAGGAUAUAGAAGAUCUUCAAAUUAUUCUAGCAACUCGAGUAAAAGAAAGCUUCAAGUAUUUGUCUCUCAGCGAUGUGGAUUAUGCUUGCUGGUAAUGAGCCAACAAGUAUCAGAACUUUUGGGAGACAUUUGAUUUUCGAAAAAUUUCAUGUAGGUUUUUGAUUUUUGAAGAUUAGAGUCACCCAAACCGGUUUGAGUAAAAGCUGUAGUUUUAGUUAAACAAAUCGAUUUGACCAAAAGCUUUAGUUUUAGUUAGCAGGGUUUCAGAACCCCAGCCAUGAUGAGUAGGUUAUUUGUAUGACUGUUUAUCGAGACGAGAUGUAUGUUUCAAGCUACUCACUUUUUCAGACUCCUUGAUAUGGAAUAGUGAAUUUCUGACUUUUCUCUACUUCUAUGCUUGCAUCAGAUCUCCUCCGGUAAUUGUACUGUUUAUUUCUCAAAGUGGUUCAGUUUGCCAAGUAGUCUGUUGUUUCUUCUUUUUAUCUUAAUUUUUCCGUUUCUGAUUUUGGUUUUAUCACAUUAGUGACGAAUCCUAUUUUUAUUUUUCGCAGAUAGAUUGCUAGUCGAAAAACUUAGGGUAUUCUGUCCUGACAUUCAUUACUAUAGGAGAAAAUUUAUCUAAUGAACUUCUAGAAAAUGGAGCUGUUGGUCUUUCCUUUUCCGCCUAAAACCCAAUUUUCAUGCUUAUCCAUAAUCUACUGUAGGAAGAAUCAACUCCAAUUGUAGAAAACACAGGGGGGUGGGGGAUAGAGAAUAAGAACAAUGGAGGAAGCACAUUAUUAUACCUUGAAGGAUGUACAGGGUUAACUCUUCAUCUGUUCUUUAGAUAGCUUCUUGGCACUGGUGUGACAAUAAAAUGUAUGCAGAGGUAUGAAAAUGUCUUUAUAUAGGAAAAUUUAAUAGCCUAGUGAAACUGAAGACAUAGUAUAGUUGCAAGUGACAUCAGAUGUAGACACUGAAUGUUAGUUAGGUCGUACUUGUAAAAUCCUGUCACAAAGGUGAGUGGUUGCUUUUGCUUAGCCUACUAAUAAGUAGUUGAUACUUGUCUAGUCGGAUAUGCUAAUGCUUCUUGAAGUGCAGUUAUUUGUGCAAGCCGUCGAUUUGUUUGGUGGCUUCUGUUUUACAUAUUCGCCUAGUGGAAGACAAUGGUACCCAUAAAGUUUCUGGUGGCGGCCGCGUUGAAAGAUGAAUCAUCUCUGUAAUUUUCCGUUCUUGUCAACUAUUUCCUUCCCAAUUUUGCUGGGUUGAUCAUGUUUACACCAGACCAGUGCUUCAUAUAUAGCUAAACAAUCAUAAUACGUCGAAUAUAAAUCACUCUUUUCAAUCUUGUCUCUUGUUUCUUUAAAACUAA
Papaver somniferum (opium poppy) is the source of this 5558-nucleotide long non-coding RNA. RefSeq lists it as uncharacterized. The transcript is spliced from 4 exons. The record is from RefSeq and is a predicted model, not a curated record. NCBI's taxonomy places the organism in Eukaryota, Viridiplantae, Streptophyta, Magnoliopsida, Ranunculales, Papaveraceae.